UCAUAGAAUGUACGCAAACAUAGCAACUCGACAAGGGUCAAAGCCACGACAUUGCUAGAUAGCUUCAAUCGUCAUUCUAGAGCCUGUUUCAUUUCCUUGCUUACGGCUGCAAUAUCCGUACGGUUUAGUAUCAUAGGGGAGAUAUAUAGGAUUCAUUUGUCGCUUAUGAUGGAAACAAACCAACACCACGCACACAAUGACCA
Molecule: long non-coding RNA, 203 nt
Organism: Nematostella vectensis (starlet sea anemone)
Lineage: Eukaryota; Metazoa; Cnidaria; Anthozoa; Actiniaria; Edwardsiidae
Exons: 2
Source: RefSeq, a predicted model, not a curated record